GUAAUUUGUUAAUUAAGACGAGGCCUGAGCCCCGAAUUUGACAUUCGGUAUACUUGUGGUUUGUGUGAGCGAGACGGCCCGGGCGCUAACCCAGACUCCAUCCCGAAAAAGUGCACAGUGGUUUGAGUUUGGACGAGGCGGACGGGCGUCGGCAUCACGGCGUCUCCACCGGCGCGCGACGUACCCGAACUCCCCUAGAAGUUUCAAUAAUGAUCCUUCCGCAGGUUCACCUACGGAAA
This 239-nucleotide unclassified non-coding RNA is filed under the name uncultured fungus. RNAcentral's name for it is "sequence contains ITS1". Lineage: Eukaryota; Fungi. The record is from RNAcentral.